This is a non-coding RNA of Capsicum annuum, 107 nucleotides long. Lineage: Eukaryota; Viridiplantae; Streptophyta; Magnoliopsida; Solanales; Solanaceae. The record is from Rfam.
AUGUUAUGGUUCGGACAUUGUGCCAUCUUCUUCUUGAAUCUCUCCCAAGUUUCAUCCAAUACUUCAAUUGGGAGUUGCCUAAAGUUACUAAUUUCGUCCCUAAACUG